UAGGUAUGCUUAGGGAGGAGCUUGCGUCACAUUAGUUAGUUGGUGGGGUAAAGGCCUACCAAGACUAUGAUGUGUAGCCGGGCUGAGAGGUUGAACGGCCACAUUGGGACUGAGACACGGCCCAAACUCCUACGGGAGGCAGCAGUAGGGAAUUUUCGGCAAUGGAGGAAACUCUGACCGAGCAACGCCGCGUGAACGAUGAAGUAUUUCGGUACGUAAAGUUCUUUUAUUAGGGAAGAAUAAAUGAUGGAAAAAUCAUUCUGACGGUACCUAAUGAAUAAGCCCCGGCUAACUAUGUGCCAGCAGCCGCGGUAAUACAUAGGGGGCAAGCGUUAUCCGGAAUUAUUGGGCGUAAAGGGUGCGUAGGCGGUUAAAUAAGUUUAUGGUCUAAGUGCAAUGCUCAACAUUGUGAUGCUAUAAAAACUGUUUAGCUAGAGUAAGAUAGAGGCAAGUGGAAUUCCAUGUGUAGUGGUAAAAUGCGUAAAUAUAUGGAGGAACACCAGUAGCGAAGGCGGCUUGCUGGGUCUUUACUGACGCUGAGGCACGAAAGCGUGGGGAGCAAACAGGAUUAGAUACCCUGGUAGUCCACGCCGUAAACGAUGAGUACUAAACGUUGGGUAAAACCAGUGUUGAAGUUAACACAUUAAGUACUCCGCCUGAGUAGUACGUACGCAAGUAUGAAACUUAAAGGAAUUGACGGGACUCCGCACAAGCGGUGGAUCAUGUUGUUUAAUUCGAAGGUACCCGAAAAACCUUACCGGGUCUUGACAUGCUUCUGCAAAGCUGUAGAAACACAGUGGAGGUUAUCAGUUGCACAGGUGGUGCAUGGUUGUCGUCAGCUCGUGUCGUGAGAUGUUGGGUUAAGUCCCGCAACGAGCGCAACCCUUAUUGUUAGUUACCAGCACGUAAUGGUGGGGACUUUAGCAAGACUGCCAGUGAUAAAUUGGAGGAAGGUGGGGACGACGUCAAAUCAUCAUGCCCCUUAUGACCUGGGCUACAAACGUGAUACAAUGGCUGUUACAAAGGGUAGCUGAAGCGCAAGUUUUUGGCGAAUCUCAAAAAAACAGUCUCAGUUCGGAUUGAAGUCUGCAACUCGACUUCAUGAAGU
Molecule: ribosomal RNA, 1108 nt
Filed under: Candidatus Phytoplasma zeae
Lineage: Bacteria; Bacillati; Mycoplasmatota; Mollicutes; Acholeplasmatales; Acholeplasmataceae
Description: bacterial SSU rRNA
Rfam family: Bacterial small subunit ribosomal RNA
Source: RNAcentral